Long non-coding RNA from Chelonia mydas (Green sea turtle), 2315 nucleotides. RefSeq lists it as uncharacterized. The transcript has 3 exons. Lineage: Eukaryota; Metazoa; Chordata; Testudines; Cheloniidae. The record is from RefSeq and is a predicted model, not a curated record.
AGUUAAAUAGGUAACCGGCCUCAAAGAGGGAAAGGGAAAAAAGAGGAAUAGCUUCUGCUGAAUAUUUUAGCUGAUGUUAUCUCAUUCAUGUGCCAGACCAGUAACAGGAAAAUAAAUGACUCUCAUCCUUUUGGUUCCACCUUUUGGACGUAUGUCAAACUGCAUUGGUUGGAAGGCAAGGUAGACAUUUUGAGGAUACCUGCAGGCAUGUUAAGGUGUCUCUUAAUGGAAUUUAGCAGCUGGAAAACAAGAAGGGGAGCCAACACCAUGCAAACAGCCAUCUCUUCACAGACCACCAUUUGAGAACCACUGGACUAUCCUGUUACUGCCACUGAUGCAAUGAUUUCUAAGAUUACACUCAUGAUUGAAGAGGUGUUGUAUUAAUAUUGGUUUUUUUUCUGAUUACGGCAUUAGGCUGGGAGUAAGAAGAUCUGGGUUGUAUUCCUGGUUUGACCAAAGUCACAAAUUAUGUCUAAGGCAAAUACAUGCAGUUUCUCUGGGUAAAAUUUCAAAAACUUCUAAGUGACUUAGGAAUCUAAAUCCCAUUUUCCAAAUUGACUUGGGUCCAGAUAUUUAUAUGCAUUACGUGAUGAUCUACUCACUGUUGCAAGACCUAAGUCUCAUUUUAAAAUGUGAUUUCAGUUUUUAGGAUCCUAAGUCUCAUUGACUUUCUAUAUGUCACUUUCAGUGCCUUUGAAAAUUUUACCUUCUCUCACUCUCCAUUUUACCAUCUGUAACAUGGGGAUAAUAAUACUCGGCUACCUCUCAGAGCUGUUGGGGGAGUCUUAAUUCAAUUAUGUUUGUCAACACUGUGAGAGUCUCCUAUGGAAUAAGUGGAAAGCAUGAUUUUAUUUAUUUUUAUUCGAUCACUCUUUUAUUGUAUUCAGUGGGAAAGCUUGAAUAAUCCAUAGAGUUGUCAAAUACAUUGGGGAAGCCGGAGUUCCUGAUUUUGCCCACCAUGCUUCUGGCAAAGAAAGGACCUGAGAGACAUUCCUAAACGAAAAAUAUAAACAAACUCGUGAAGCUACUCAGAUACUUAAAUGAUUAUUUUUUUUUGAAAAUAUGCCUUUAUCAAACAAAUAAAAUACAUUUUUGCCUUCAUUUUCCCCCCUGGUUUUGGUGGCAGGUUUCCCGAGGCAUCAGCAUGUGGGUAGUCACUCCCUUGCUCUAUUGAUCCUGACAAGGACAUGUGUUAAGGAGCCCAGUCCUCCCUGAGGCAGUGACUAACUACAGAUUUAACGGGUCCAAGCAAGGAGGAGGAGAGGUUCUAAAACUUGUCAUUUUUCUGGGAUCAUCAUUUCACCCUUUUAAUCUCAACCUUCUCCAUGUCUAUUUCACAUAAUCACGGUGUGUUAUAGCCAGGAGGCAGGCUCCCAGCAACUCUGCAGAGCCCUUCCAGAGUUGGCUGAUAUGGAGGGUAUAAUGCACAACUCUUCAGUAGGUGGGAAGUACCUGUAAGAGCAAGCAGUGCUCUCUAUAAGCCCGGAUACCCUGUGAGGACAGAAAGUGAGGCAGAGUCUGAAAUAAGGAAAGAGAGAGAGAGAGAGAGAGGAGGAGGACUGGAGCAUCCCUUCAUAUUAGCUGUAGGGGAGGGAGGUGAUGCAACUUGCAAAAUAACUUUUUUUUGGUUUAUCCUGAAACAAGUUUAUCCCUAGCCACAGAUAUCCAGAAUUGGCUACGGGCAGAUCCACUACGCAGGCCUAGCACACUACUUUUGAAGAAGAUGAGAAUCUGUUAAGUGUGUGUGGGGCAGGGUUAGAAGAAUAGUCUAUGCCAGAGGCCCAAAGUUUUAAUAUUAGAUGCUGUGAGCACAUAAAAGGUGAAGCUUGAUGAUUGGGCUCCAUUUAUAGCUAUUGUCCACACUAGGAAAUUUUGUAUCUUUUUUUUCAGCAACAGUUUUGGGUUCUGUUCUGAAGCUACAAAUCAUAGUUUUCAAAUGAGUGGCAAAAUAAGUUCUUCUAUGUUUAGAUUUUUUCUUGACCCACAAAAUUAUUAUUUAAAUAACUCUUUCCUGUUCUUGUCUAAUCUAUUAAAUAUGGUACGUCCAGUAAAAAGAAAAAUACCUUAAUUAAGUGCCAGAAGUAUGACCUAAUAGAAGCACUGCAAAAUACAAUAUGGAUUAAUAUAUUCAAAUAUUUCUGCAUUCUUACAGGGUGUAAGUCAUUGCGCAAUAUGACCAAUGACUUUUUAUUUCACUUACCAGCAUUAUGUUACCUUGAAAAAAUAACAUUAAAUGUGCAUCUGACAAAAGCAAAAAAAUUCUGAGAUUGUUUCCCCUAUAUUUUAAACUUAAUCUGUGUUGCAUCUAUGUAUUG